This 253-nucleotide ribosomal RNA is filed under the name uncultured bacterium. Its description in RNAcentral is "partial 16S ribosomal RNA". It matches the Rfam family "Bacterial small subunit ribosomal RNA", at positions 524 to 776 of the family's 1533-position model. The record is from RNAcentral.
UACGGUGGGGGCAAGCGUUGUUCGGAAUUACUGGGCGUAAAGGGCUCGUAGGCGGCCAACUAAGUCAGACGUGAAAUCCCUCGGCUUAACCGGGGAACUGCGUCCGAUACUGGAUGACUUGAGUUCGGGAGAGGGAUGCGGAAUUCCAGGUGUAGCGGUGAAAUGCGUAGAUAUCUGGAGGAACACCGGUGGCGAAGGCGGCAUCCUGGACCGACACUGACGCUGAGGAGCGAAAGCCAGGGGAGCAAACGGG